This 441-nucleotide ribosomal RNA is filed under the name uncultured bacterium. RNAcentral describes it as "partial 16S ribosomal RNA". It matches the Rfam family "Bacterial small subunit ribosomal RNA", at positions 338 to 795 of the family's 1533-position model. The record is from RNAcentral.
CCUACGGGGGGCUGCAGUGGGGGAUAUUGCACAAUGGGGGGAACCCUGAUGCAGCGACGCCGCGUGGGUGAAGGAGUGCUUCGGCAUGUAAAGCCCUAUCGGCAGGGAAGAAGCAAGACGGUACCUGACUAAGAAGCCCCGGCUAACUACGGGCCAGCAGCCGCGGUAAUACGUAGGGGGCGAGCGUUAUCCGGAUUCACUGGGUGGAAAGGGCGCGUAGACGGCCAUGCAAGCCAGGGGUGAAACCCCGGGGCCCAACCCCGGCACUGCCCUUGGAACUGCAUGGCUGGAGUGAGGGAGGGGCAGGCGGAAUUCCUAGUGUAGCGGUGAAAUGCGUAGAUAUCAGGAGGAACACCGGCGGCGAAGGCGGCCUGCUGGACUGCGACUGACGUUGAGGCUCGAAAGCGUGGGGAGCGAACAGGAUUAGAUACCCUUGUAGUC